RNA transcript from Clupea harengus (Atlantic herring), 1237 nucleotides. It is a transcript of the gene named receptor for activated C kinase 1, with no coding region annotated. The transcript has 9 exons. NCBI's taxonomy places the organism in Eukaryota, Metazoa, Chordata, Actinopteri, Clupeiformes, Clupeidae. The record is from RefSeq and is a predicted model, not a curated record.
GUUUGAACUUCCUUUUUCUCGUGCCUGAUAGUGAGAGGAACAGGGAGGUUUUGUCCCUCCAAAAGAAUCUGUUUCCAUCUUCUUUACAGAGGCACCUUUACACUCGCCAAAAUGACCGAACAGAUGACGGUUCGAGGUACCCUUAAAGGGCAUAGUGGAUGGGUCACCCAAAUCGCCACAACUCCUCAGUUUCCAGACAUGAUUCUGUCCGCAUCUCGAGACAAGUCUAUUAUUAUGUGGAAAUUGACACGUGACGAGACCAACUACGGAAUCCCCCAGCGUGCUCUGAAGGGACACUCUCACUUUGUGAGUGAUGUUGUCAUCUCCUCUGAUGGCCAGUUUGCCCUGUCUGGCUCCUGGGAUGGUACCCUCCGCCUCUGGGACCUUACUACUGGUACCACAACCCGCCGCUUUGUGGGACAUACCAAGGAUGUGCUGAGUGUUGCCUUCUCUGCCGACAAUCGCCAGAUUGUGUCCGGAUCUCGGGACAAGACCAUUAAGCUUUGGAACACUUUGGGAGUGUGCAAGUACACCAUUCAGGAUGAGAGCCACACAGAGUGGGUUUCCUGCGUGCGCUUCUCCCCCAACAGCAGUAACCCCAUCAUUGUGUCUUGUGGCUGGGACAAAAUGGUCAAGGUAUGGAAUCUGGCUAACUGCAAGCUGAAGACUAACCACAUUGGCCAUACUGGGUACCUGAACACGGUGACCGUGUCCCCUGAUGGCUCUCUUUGUGCUUCAGGUGGAAAGGAUGGUCAGGCCAUGCUGUGGGACCUGAAUGAGGGCAAGCACCUCUACACUCUGGAUAGCGGUGAUGUCAUCAAUGCUCUAUGCUUCAGCCCCAACCGCUACUGGCUCUGUGCUGCCACAGGCCCCAGCAUCAAGAUUUGGGACCUUGAGGGCAAGAUCAUUGUUGAUGAACUGAGACAGGAAGUCAUCAGCACCAACAGCAAGGCUGAACCGCCACAGUGCACGUCCCUGGCCUGGUCUGCAGAUGGACAGACCCUGUUUGCCGGCUACACUGACAACCUCAUCAGAGUGUGGCAAGCUGAAGACUAACCACAUUGGCCAUACUGGGUACCUGAACACGGUGACCGUGUCCCCUGAUGGCUCUCUUUGUGCUUCAGGUGGAAAGGAUGGUCAGGCCAUGCUGUGGGACCUGAAUGAGGGCAAGCACCUCUACACUCUGGAUAGCGGUGAUGUCAUCAAUGCUCUAUGCUUCAGCCCCAACCGCUACUGG